RNAcentral lists this long non-coding RNA (1336 nucleotides) under Zonotrichia albicollis (white-throated sparrow). RNAcentral describes it as "lncRNA (ENSZALG00000007092.1)". Lineage: Eukaryota; Metazoa; Chordata; Aves; Passeriformes; Passerellidae. The record is from RNAcentral.
CAGCACCGGCCUUUCCCCGCCGCCGCCCGGCCCGGCUCCGCUCGCCUCAGCACGCGCCGCUCUCCGGCGCCAUGUUCUCCGCCCGCCUCCCCCCGCCGCCCGGCCAAUCCCUCCCGGCGCCCGCGGGGUCCCGUCCGCCCUCCGCGCCCGGGCCUGGCGGGACCCGUACCUGGGGGUGCCGGGAGCUGCCGCCUCUGCCGCCGGGAGGGCCGGGGCUGCGGCUGAGGAGGGGGCCGGGGGCCUCUGGGAGGAGGCGGAGGCGGUGGAGGGGGUGGGUGGCUGGGCGGGGAGCCGGGGCGACACUCGCCGCGGCGGGGGGGCCGCGCCCGGCGGAGGCGGACGGGGUUGCGGCGCGAAGGGCGGCCCCGGGCUGCACCCGCGGAGAGACCGUGUCGCGGCCCGCCCGCUUCCUGGUGGCCGCGCUCCGCGUCCCUGGCGGCCUCUGCCAAACAAAAGUCCCUAGUGCAUGUAAAAGUGAAGACCAAGCUGGACAGAAAGAGGACAGGAUAAAUGGUGAGCUGUUAAAUCUGAAUUCCACCCUGUUGCUGGCAGUGCGUCAGAGAGGCUCAUCCCGUGGUGCCUGACAGAAGGACUGCAGGUGACAUAGUUAUCCUUUUACCUUGACUGAAGGGGAAUCCUGUCCUCAGCUGAGAAUAUAGCAGUAUUCUCUGAGAGUAAGUCUUUGUUAUUUAACUUACUGUAUGUGGACAACACAGAGUUUAGAAUGUUACUGGCCAACUGGUCAGGCUGUUCAAAGGCUACAGUUUGGUUUAUGUUUAUCUGAGGUGCAGGUGAUUUCCCCUUUAAUGUGAAUAUGCAAUUAAUCAGCAAUUUUCUUUACUAUGUCACUGAUAAUAUUAAAUAUUAAACUCUCCACAUGCUCAGUACAGGUGAUACAUUGUGUAGCAUGUUGGCAAUCAAAUCAGGUGUUACUAAGCCUUGAAGAAGUCUCACUGAACCUUAUAAUUUGUAUUAAUUAUAUCUCUCCAUUAUUAUACCUUAUAUAACCUUUUUAAUUUGUAGGUAAUCAUGUUCCAUGUAAACAAUUUUACUACUUUUCAGGCCUCCAUACCUACCAUUCCCCAGGUGAUCUGAUACAGGCCCUAGGAAAACAGUGUUUGUUUUGUCUAUGAAUAUCACUGCAAUUUAAUGGCUUUUUGCUUGCCAGCCUUACUUUAAAAUUGUCCUUCUUGAUCCAUACGUGAGGAUUAAUACCCUCUUCUGAAAUUGCUACAUUUGCUGUUGUGUGUACUAUUAUAUAAUUCAGAUUUCUGUAAUGUCUUUGUCUCUAUUUAAACAAAAUAAAACAUUUGUCACAGAUGAACUACCUGUCUUC